GGAAGAUGUGAUGACAACCAUGAUUUGAAGAAGGAGAAAUGUGUCUGGUUUAUGUGAAAGAAAAAAAAAUAAAAAGGAAAAUGGUAUGGAAGAAAAGAAAAGUAAAAUGGUGAUUUUGAAACGAGGGAGGUGAAAGUGGAGAUGUGAAGGUGACGGUGAUUUCGAGAUGGAGAGGUGCACUCAUAAAAUAAAAUAAAAUAAAAUAAA
Molecule: long non-coding RNA, 207 nt
Filed under: Vigna radiata
Lineage: Eukaryota; Viridiplantae; Streptophyta; Magnoliopsida; Fabales; Fabaceae
Description: long non-coding RNA (VRAD_LNC010671)
Source: RNAcentral